This 253-nucleotide ribosomal RNA is filed under the name uncultured bacterium. Its description in RNAcentral is "partial 16S ribosomal RNA". It matches the Rfam family "Bacterial small subunit ribosomal RNA", at positions 524 to 776 of the family's 1533-position model. The record is from RNAcentral.
UACAGAGGGGGCAAGCGUUGUUCGGAAUUACUGGGCGUAAAGGGCUCGUAGGCGGCCAACUAAGUCAGACGUGAAAUCCCUCGGCUUAACCGGGGAACUGCGUCUGAUACUGGAUGGCUUGAAUCCGGGAGAGGGAUGCGGAAUUCCAGGUGUAGCGGUGAAAUGCGUAGAUAUCUGGAGGAACACCGGUGGCGAAGGCGGCAUCCUGGACCGGCAUUGACGCUGAGGAGCGAAAGCCAGGGGAGCAAACGGG